AAAGAAAAUUCGAUUCCCUUAGUAGCGGCGAGCGAAACGGGAAGAGCCCAAACCAACAAGCUUGCUUGUUGGGGUUGUAGGACACUCUAUACGGAGUUACAAAGGACGACAUUAGACGAAUCAUCUGGAAAGAUGAAUCAAAGAAGGUAAUAAUCCUGUAGUCGAAAAUGUUGUCUCUCUUGAGUGGAUCCUGAGUACGACGGAGCACGUGAAAUUCCGUCGGAAUCUGGGAGGACCAUCUCCUAAGGCUAAAUACUCUCUAGUGACCGAUAGUGAACCAGUACCGUGAGGGAAAGGUGAAAAGCACCCCGGAAGGGGAGUGAAAUAGAACCUGAAACCGUGUGCUUACAAGUAGUCAGAGCCCGUUAAUGGGUGAUGGCGUGCCUUUUGUAGAAUGAACCGGCGAGUUACGAUUUGAUGCAAGGUUAAGCAGUAAAUGUGGAGCCGUAGCGAAAGCGAGUCUGAAUAGGGCGUUUAGUAUUUGGUCGUAGACCCGAAACCAGGUGAUCUACCCUUGGUCAGGUUGAAGUUCAGGUAACACUGAAUGGAGGACCGAACCGACUUACGUUGAAAAGUGAGCGGAUGAACUGAGGGUAGCGGAGAAAUUUCAAUCGAACCUGGAGAUAGCUGGUUCUCUCCGAAAUAGCUUUAGGGCUAGCCUCAAGUGAUGAUUAUUGGAGGUAGAGCACUGUUUGGACGAGGGGCCCCUCUCGGGUUACCGAAUUCAGACAAACUCCGAAUGCCAAUUAAUUUAACUUGGGAGUCAGAACAUGGGUGAUAAGGUCCGUGUUCGAAAGGGAAACAGCCCAGACCACCAGCUAAGGUCCCAAAAUAUAUGUUAAGUGGAAAAGGAUGUGGCGUUGCCCAGACAACUAGGAUGUUGGCUUAGAAGCAGCCAUCAUUUAAAGAGUGCGUAAUAGCUCACUAGUCGAGUGACACUGCGCCGAAAAUGUACCGGGGCUAAACAUAUUACCGAAGCUGUGGAUUGUCCUUUGGACAAUGGUAGGAGAGCGUUCUAAGGGCGUUGAAGCAUGAUCGUAAGGACAUGUGGAGCGCUUAGAAGUGAGAAUGCCGGUGUGAGUAGCGAAAGACGGGUGAGAAUCCCGUCCACCGAUUGACUAAGGUUUCCAGAGGAAGGCUCGUCCGCUCUGGGUUAGUCGGGUCCUAAGCUGAGGCCGACAGGCGUAGGCGAUGGAUAACAGGUUGAUAUUCCUGUACCACCUAUAAUCGUUUUAAUCGAUGGGGGGACGCAGUAGGAUAGGCGAAGCGUGCGAUUGGAUUGCACGUCUAAGCAGUAAGGCUGAGUAUUAGGCAAAU
This 1317-nucleotide ribosomal RNA is filed under the name Staphylococcus aureus. RNAcentral's name for it is "partial 23S ribosomal RNA". It matches the Rfam family "Bacterial large subunit ribosomal RNA", at positions 222 to 1541 of the family's 2925-position model. Lineage: Bacteria; Bacillati; Bacillota; Bacilli; Caryophanales; Staphylococcaceae. The record is from RNAcentral.